CCUUGGAGAGCUUUGGAGAACUUCCCCAUGACUUGUGGAUUUCAAAAACUCCUGCUUUGCAGUAAAACACCAGAAUAUUCAACUAUAAGCAUUUACCCGAUCAUUCAGACUAAUUGCCAGCAGAGGUUCCUGGAAGCCUGCUCUCAUUUUUCUUCUCCUCUGAGUGCCCCAAAACAAUCCAAGUAAGUUAACAAUGGAAAGGUUGCAAGCCCGUCCCUAAAGGAUCUACAUGAACAAGAACUUAAAUGAAUGAAUUAAAAGUACCAAAAGAGCCAGAGACCUCAUUCAUCUGCCACCGACUCCAGUUAAAAUAAAACCACUGAAUGAUGGAAGGGAUCAAUCCACACACAGCCAUGUUCCAUC
Long non-coding RNA from Mauremys mutica (yellowpond turtle), 363 nucleotides. RefSeq lists it as uncharacterized. The transcript has 4 exons. Lineage: Eukaryota; Metazoa; Chordata; Testudines; Geoemydidae. The record is from RefSeq and is a predicted model, not a curated record.